Molecule: ribosomal RNA, 253 nt
Filed under: uncultured bacterium
Lineage: Bacteria
Description: partial 16S ribosomal RNA
Rfam family: Bacterial small subunit ribosomal RNA
Source: RNAcentral
UACAGAGGGGGCAAGCGUUGUUCGGAAUUACUGGGCGUAAAGGGCGCGUAGGCGGCCUGCUAAGUCGAACGUGAAAUCCCCGGGCUCAACCCGGGAACUGCGUCCGAUACUGGCAGGCUUGAAUCCGGGAGAGGGAUGCGGAAUUCCAGGUGUAGCGGUGAAAUGCGUAGAUAUCUGGAGGAACACCGGUGGCGAAGGCGGCAUCCUGGACCGGCAUUGACGCUGAGGCGCGAAAGCCAGGGGAGCAAACAGG